Molecule: long non-coding RNA, 3369 nt
Filed under: Vitis vinifera (wine grape)
Lineage: Eukaryota; Viridiplantae; Streptophyta; Magnoliopsida; Vitales; Vitaceae
Description: long non-coding RNA (VVIN_LNC005327)
Source: RNAcentral
AGAAACCGAGAUUAAAUGAAAAGACGAGAAAAGGAAAAUAACAUUCCAUGGAAAAAUGCUACCAAAAGGAAAUCAAGUUCUUCUCACCCAAAACAAAAGAAAUCACAAACAAAAAACAAAACACAAAUGCGCACAAAAAAUAACACAAAUCAACAAAUAAUACCAACACAUAACAGAGAUAAUGAAAAUUGCGAUAUAGCAGACAAAAGGGAAUACGAAGUAAACUUAGAUAAGAAGUACUUCCUCAUAAACUUCUCUUGCUUCCGAGAAACCUGAAAAAUCCAGUGAUAUGCUUAGAAAUGCUUGCCAAAGAAACCAAGAUCACAUGAAAAGACCAGAAAUGGAAAUUACACUAUUCUCACCCACAAAGAAAGAAAUGAGAAAUAAAAAAUGAAACGUAAAGCGCACAAACCAAAACAUAAUGAACAUAUUCGAACUUAAUUCAAUAAUGCAUAGAUCAAGUCAACAAAUCAUACCCAAACAUAACAAAUAUAUUGAACAAUGCGAUAUAUGAAAGAACAGGGAAUACGAAGAAAACUUAUCUAAGAAGACUUUCCUCACACACUUCUCCUGCUCCCGAGAAUCCUGAAAAAUCCACUUAUAUGCUUAUUAAUGGUGGGACAAGACACCGAGAUCAGAUAAUAAGACGAGAAAAUAAAAAUAACAUCCCAUGGAAAAACACAGUUCAAAGGAAAUCAAAUACUUCUAUCAAACAAUCAAAUAAAUGACAAAUAAAAAGCCACAUAUAAAACCAACAACCAAACACUGAAAUCAAAAUAUUCUAAAUAAAUUGUAUAACGCUUACAUAAAGUCAAAAAAUAAUACCCAAACAUAACAGACAUAACGAACGAUGUGAUUUGGGAGAAUUUGAACGAAACUUACAUAAAAAGUACUUCUUCAUACACUUCACCUGGUCCCGAUUAACCUGAAAAUAUGAAGUUAUACGGUUAUAAAUUGUGGGCAAAGAAACCGAGAUUAAAUGAAAAGACGAGAAAAGCACAAUAACAUUCCAUGGCAAAAUGCUACCAAAAGGAAAUCAAGUUCUUCUCACCCAAAAUCAAACAAAUCACAAACAAAAAACAAAACACAAAUGCGCACAAAAAAUAACACAAAUAAACAAAUAAUACCAACACAUAACAGAAAUAAUGAAAAUUGCGAUAUAGCAGACAAAAUGGAAUACGAAGUACUUCCUCAUAAACUUCUCUUGCUUCCAAGAAACCUGAAAAAUCCAGUGAUAUGCUUAGAAAUGCUUGCCAAAGAAGCCGAGAUCACAUGAAAAGACCAGAAAAAUACAAAUUACACUAUUCUCACCCACAAAGAAAGAAAUGAGAAAUAAAAAAUGAAACGUAAAGCGCACAAACCAAAACAUAAUGAACAUAUUCGAACUUAAUUCAAUAAUGCAUAGAUCAAGUCAACAAAUCAUACCCAAACAUAACAGAUAUAUUGAACAAUGCGAUAUAUGAAAGAACAGAGAAUACGAAGAAAAAUCCACUUAUAUGCUUAUUAAUGGUGGGACAAGACACCGAGAUCAGAUGAAAAGACGAGAAAAUCAAAAUACCACCCCUUUGAAAAACACAGUUUAAAGGAAAUCAAAUACUUCUCAAAAACAAUCAAAUAAAUGACAAAUAAAAAGCCACACACAAAACCCACAACCAAACACUGAAAUCAUAAUAUUCUAAAUAAAUUAUAUAACGCAUACAUAAAGUCAAAAAAUAAUACCCAAACAUAAUAGACAUAACGAACGAUGUGAUAUGGGAGAAUUCGAAUGAAACUUACCAAAAAAGUACUUCUUCAUACACUUCACCUGGUCCCGAUUAACCUGAAAAAAUGAAGUUAUACGGUUAUAAAUUGUAGGCAAAGAAACCGAGAUUAAAUGAAAAGACGAGAAAAGGACAAUAACAUUCCAUGGCAAAAUGCGACCAAAAGGAAAUCAUGUUCUUCUCACCCAAAAUCAAAGAAAUCACAAACAAAAAACAAAACACAAAUGCGCACAAAAAAUAACAAAACUCAACAAAUAAUACCAACACAUAACAUAGAUAAUGAAAAUUGCGAUAUAGCAGACAAAAGGGAAUACGAAGUAAACUUAGAUAAGAAGUACUUCCUCAUAAACUUCUCUUGCUUCCGAGAAACCUGAAAAAUCCAGUGAUAUGCUUAGAACUGCUGGCCAAAGAAGCCGAGAUCACAUGAAAAGACCAGAAAAGGAAAUUACACUAUUCUCACCCACAAAGAAAGAAAUGAGAAAUAAAAAAUGAAACGUAAAGCGCACAAACUAAAACAUAACGAACAUAUUCGAAAUGAAUUCAAUAAUGCAUAGAUCAAGUCAACAAAUCAUACCCAAACAUAACAGAUAUACUGAACAAUGCGAUAUAUGAAAGAACAGGGAAUACGAAGAAAACUUAUCUAAGAAGACUUUCCUCACACACUUCUCCUGCUCCCGAGAAUCCUGAAAAAUCCACUUAUAUGCUUAUUAAUGGUCGGACAAGACACCGAGAUCAGACGAAAAGACGAGAAAAUCAAAAUAACAUCUCAUGGAAAAACACAGUUCAAAGGAAAUCAAAUACUUCUAUCAAACAAUCAAAUAAAUGACAAAUAAAAAGCCACACAUAAAACCCACAACCAAACACUGAAAUCAAAAUAUUCUAAAUAAAUUCUAUAACCCAUACAUAAAGUUAAAAAAUAAUACCCAAACAUAACAGACAUAACGAACGAUGUGAUAUGGGAGAAUUCGAAUGAAACUUACCAAAAAAGUACUUCUUCAUACACUAAACCUGGUCCCGAUUAACCUGAAAAAAUGAAGUUAUACGGUUAUAAAUUGUGGGCAAAGAAAUCGACAUUAAAUGAAAAGACGAGAAAAGGACAAUAACAUUCCAUGGCAAAAUGCGACCAAAAGGAAAUCAAGUUCUUCUCACCCAAAAUGAAAGAAAUCACAAACAAAAAACAAAACACAAAUGCGCACAAAAAUUAACAAAAAUCAACAAAUAAUACCAACACAUAACAUAGAUAAUUAAAAUUGCGAUAUAGCAGACAAAAGGGAAUACGAAGUAAACUUAGAUAAGAAGUACUUCCUCAUAAACUUCUCUUCUUCCGAGAAACUUGAAAAAUCCAGUGAUAUGCUUAGAAAUGCUUGCCAAAGAAGCCGAGAUCACAUGAAAAGACCAGAAAAGGAAAUUACACUAUUCUCACCCACAAAGAAAGUAAUGAGAAAUAAAAAAUAAAACGUAAAGCGCACAAACCAAAUCAUAACGAACAUAUUCGAAAUGAAUUCAAUAAUGCAUAGAUCAAGUCAACAAAUCAUACCCAAACAUAACAGAUAUAUUGAACAAUGCGAUAUAUGAAAGAACAGGGAAUACGAAGAAAACUUAUCUAAGA